CCAUGCUCCAUGUGCUGCGCGGUGUGGAAAGGCUGGGGGGAGCUGGGAAGGCAGCCAGUGCAAAAAAUCUCCCGUGGGGCCUCCCCUCUCAGAGGUGACGCAUCACCACAUCCCAGGCCAGCUGGGGCUGGUGUCCUCUGCUCCUGGAAUUGCUUGGUGAGGGGAUGAAGGUCUACUGUGGGAGAUCACAGGAGGGACUUAAGCAGUUGCUCUUAGAAAGGAUUCUUACAUAUUCUUGCAAGAAAGGAGUCCUUCAAAACUGCAAGUCUUUGUAGUUGGAUCUGCUGAGCCAGACUUCAACCAAGCUAGUUACUGGUCAGUGAGCUGGGGUGCCACUGCAGUGACAUCCACAAGUACCCAGAGGACUUCACUCCCCAGGAGCUCUCUUUCACUUGCUGUCCAUCAAGUUUUCCCAGGAAAAAAAAAAAAAUUCCUUCUUCUUUGCUAAGGAUGGCUCCAUCAAUCUGAAUUAAGUGUUCAGUGGGAACCAGAAAUAAUGCUACUGAGGAAAUCUCAGCCUAAAACCAGUCAGCAGCAGGCAGCUGUUCUGGGAUGCCUUUUCACCACGGGGCUAUUUGAUCUCCCUUGAGGUUGAUCUGAGCCCUGCAGACGGCUGUUAAAAAAGUAAUUUUGUCACUCAAUGCACUUUCAAUUCAGUAAAUUGUAGGAGAAGGCAAUUGCACUGGAGGCCUAGCUGGAAGGAAGGAGAGAUAUUUGCCUAAUACAUGCUUAACUGGCAAUCAUCUUGGCAGUGUCUUAGCCCUGCUGCAGUCAAGGUGGCUUUCAUCACUGGAGGUGGAGGAGAGAUCAGAAACUGCUCUGGUUUCCUGUGCACCUUAAUUUGAAAAGCAAUAGAAAGACAGCUGAGAAGGAAAUGAGCAAACACCGCGAGGGUCAGGAAGAUCUCAGGGUCACUUUUGUGAGCUCUCCGUGGACCUUGAUGCCCAGACAGCGGCUUCCAUCCCAAACAGGAUGCAAGGAGAGGAGACAAACUUGGACAGGACUGAGUCAGACCAUUGACUAGUUAAUGAGAAGGCAAAAUAUCCUGAAAGUGAGACUGAGGGGAAGAAAAGCUUGAUCUCAGCUGGUUGCUGGGGAAAGGCAGGAGGAGCCAGUUUUUGUGACACUUCUCAUUCUUGGCCAGCAGGAGAAGCUCCACUGGCACCAUCCACACACCACUGAGGAAGGGAAAAUGGCAGCUUUGACUGUCCUACCCUAGGACACAACCUGCAGAGAUUUUCACUUGUGUUUUGUGACCAAUUCCUGGAUUGCACUUUCAGGCCAAAUCUGAUUCAAGUUCCUGGAAAAAAGGGCUGUUUGUUGAUUUCUGAAAGUGGAGUAAUCCCACUAGGAGACACUGAGAGAAUCUACUCUCUUGUAGCAAGGGAGAGGCUUCUUUGGGAUGCCAGUGGAGUCUUCUGUAUUCCUGGUUUAUUAAUUAUUCUGUUUGGGGAGCAAAGAGGGAGAUGAGAAAUUUUUCCAAAUGAGAGCUUAUCAAAAUGGUUUUAUUUCUGGCAAGGCUGAUAUAUCCAAGGAGCUAAAGAUACUUCUAAUAUUUUGUCAAGCCUUUCUGCACCACUCAAGCCCAGGGAUGUUUCAAACUGAUUUCCACACAAAGAAGAUGUUUCCCAUUAAAUAGGAAUGCUCGCCUUGAAAAUAAAUAUCUCCCUGCCAUGGGAGAGUUAUGGUGGGAUGGCUCAUGGAAGAGCAGGAAAGGCUUACAAUUAUCCCAGUUAUCAGGUGCAGGCAGGUCUGACUGUUUUGGGGAGAGGUCUCAGCUUUUUGGGACCAGCCUUCCUCAGCUGUGUCAAGAGGCAGGGGCAGGGCAGGCUCAGCACCUUUUUUGCAUCACUGGUGGGGUUUUACAACUUGUAUGUUUGUAAGGUUUGUUGUUAUUUUUCAUGUUCAGAAAUCCAAAGCUCUGUAGGGGGGAGUUCUGAAGAAAAACCCAAAUAAAUAAAAAAUUCACCCUUGGGUGCACUUAAAGUGGUUGGUGAGAAAUGUGCUGACUCCCAAAUGUUCUCCUUCCCACACACUUCACAAAAUGCUGGUUUUAUUCAUAUACAUGUGUUUAUACUUCCUGCUGAUGCUCUCCUAAAUAUUUCAAAGUAUCCUUAUGAACCAAUACACUUUUAUCGUGGUAUUUGUAGGAGCACAAGACCUUGGUUGUACCCAUACAGCCCCAGUUUGCUUCUUUUCCCUUUCAAGUAAAUUUUAAAUUACCAAAGAAGUGCUGAUAGUCACAAAAAUCUAGUUACUGGCCAUGAAAACUCAACCAUAAGUAAUCUCCCCAAAACCAGUCCCAUGAAAUAUUCAUGCUCUGGGAGCUCCAUUCCAGGCAGGGCGGCUGCUUCCAACAGCAAAUGCUUUGGGAGAAGAGAAAUGGUGAUUCCUCUGCUUGCAGAAAUGAGGAUGCUGCCAAACUCCUUGGCAGGAUAAUCUGCUAAAAAACAAGAAAAUCAGGGUUGGUUUGUUAAAAUACCCACAGCAAGUGUUAGGGUCCCACCGUGAGCAGCAGAGACAGCAGUGCCAAUAUCCCGUCAGCAGCUCCGUAUCGAUCCCGACCUAUCUGCAGCCACCCUGGAUCCCUCCCUGUGCUGGAUUACUGCCUCCAGCACAGACACCAAUCAAUAGCGACUGAAGACUGGUAAUGACCAAAUGUCAGGGACUUUUCAGCAGCUUUUUUGAACUAAUAUUGGUGCUUCCUAAUCCCGUUAUCAAAGGGUACCAUGAAAAACACCAUGACGGUGGGUACGAGUUGCCAACCUUUCACAGAUUCAUAUACUUGAGACCAGAAGAAACCACUCAAUAAUCUUUUUUUUCUGCUGACCUUUAUUUCGUGGGCCAUUAGAUUUCACCCGUAUCAAGUGCAAUAACUGGCGUCUGACUGAGGUACAACUUGUGCUUGGCAGAAGCAUAUCUUCAAAGGAGAAAACCGGUCCUGAUUGAAGACAUUGGAGCUGGACACUUCACCACCCCUUGGCAGUUUCACUUGGUGGUUAUGACAGUUUAUUUCUGGGCACUCUUCUGCCUGAGGAAGUUAACUCAGGGCGAGGGAAUGUGUGUGAAUAAAGACAACAAUCUCUUUCUACUUAACUGUCUGCAGACACGAGCACAGGCACAACAGCCAUUCACAAACACUCCACAAUGACUGCUGUGUCUACAGGUUUUAUUUUGACUUUCUCUGCCUCGGGUUUCAUCUACUGGUCCUUUUCAGUGUGUUCCCCUCCUAAGCAGAGAUACACUGGCACACUCUUUCACACCUUGUCCCCGUCUUCUGCUUGGUAAUAAUCCCCAGAGGCACACAUGACUCCUCAUGUCCCCUCCAAAUCUUACCUGUCCAUUCUGCCGUGGCCAAACCAGAGAGCGGCUGAAGUCCUGGCCCAACUUUAAUCAGAGUAAUAGAGGUGUUGAAGAUUGGACUUGAUGAUUUUGGAGAU
Molecule: long non-coding RNA, 3440 nt
Organism: Passer domesticus (house sparrow)
Lineage: Eukaryota; Metazoa; Chordata; Aves; Passeriformes; Passeridae
Exons: 5
Source: RefSeq, a predicted model, not a curated record